Molecule: microRNA precursor, 78 nt
Filed under: Marmota monax (woodchuck)
Lineage: Eukaryota; Metazoa; Chordata; Mammalia; Rodentia; Sciuridae
Source: RNAcentral
UGUGUGUAUGUGUGUGUGUGUAUGUGUGUGUGUAUAUAUAUAUACACACACACACAUACACACACACACACAUACACA